UACGUAGGUGACAAGCGUUGUCCGGAUUUACUGGGCGUAAAGAGCGCGCAGGCGGUCGAUCAAGUCGAGUGUGAAAGCCCCCGGCUCAACUGGGGAGGGUCAUUCGAUACUGAUCGACUCGAAGGCAGGAGAGGGUAGUGGAAUUCCCGGUGUAGUGGUGAAAUGCGUAGAUAUCGGGAGGAACACCAGUGGCGAAGGCGACUACCUGGCCUGUUCUUGACGCUGAGGCGCGAAGGCUAGGGGAGCGAACGGG
This 253-nucleotide ribosomal RNA is filed under the name uncultured bacterium. RNAcentral's name for it is "partial 16S ribosomal RNA". It matches the Rfam family "Bacterial small subunit ribosomal RNA", at positions 524 to 776 of the family's 1533-position model. The record is from RNAcentral.